RNAcentral lists this unclassified non-coding RNA (160 nucleotides) under uncultured Chalara. RNAcentral's name for it is "sequence contains ITS1". Lineage: Eukaryota; Fungi; Ascomycota; Leotiomycetes; Helotiales. The record is from RNAcentral.
CAGAGAACCUCGCCCUUCUGGGUGAAUCUCCAACCCUGUGUUAUUAUUACCUUUGUUGCUUUGGCGAGCCGCCUAGGCCACCGGCUUCUGCUGGUGUGUGCUCGCCAGAGAACCCCAAACUCUUGUUUAUUAGUGUCGUCUGAGUACUAUAAAAUAGUUA